This 3579-nucleotide long non-coding RNA is filed under the name Capra hircus (goat). RNAcentral describes it as "lncRNA (ENSCHIG00000004990.1)". Lineage: Eukaryota; Metazoa; Chordata; Mammalia; Artiodactyla; Bovidae. The record is from RNAcentral.
GCAAAGGUUAAAGUAAAAGAAACAGAUCUGAUACCGAGUCAGAUUUGUUCUUCCUAAUGGGAAGAACUGUGUGCAACACAGUUCGGGCAGAAAACAUUUAGCUGUUCUUGGGAAGUGUUGCCUUAUAUGACUCUAUUGGAAGUUACUGUCUCACCAUUUUGCUAACCAGAUCCUCCCAACAACCCUGUGAAGAGCAAGUCUUAUUAUUUCAAGUUUCCUGAUGGGGAAAAUGAGACUCUGGGUAGUGAGAGAAUUCACAGGGUUGUGCGGGAACUGGAGCCCUCAGCUAAGCCAGGACAGCCCCCUGAGUGGCUCCCAGGGCAUCCUGCCCGAGCUCCGAGUCUCUGACGCCCGCGUUAGCCUUCGCUGCCUCUGUGCUGACUUCUCUUUUUCACUUGAAUGCGUUUCUUAUCAUCUCCAGGGCUGAGGUCACCCUUUGUGUCAGUAGGAGUCUGUUCUUGUUCCUCUCGGUCCUGGCAACAAAAGAGCAGGAAUUCUGAAAAUCGGCAAUUAUCCCUCCUGGUUCCUUUGUACAGUGCCCCAUAAAUAAUUUAUUUGGAUCGAGGGACUGGAGACUGAAAACAUAUAUUGGAUCUUGCUGCAACCGGGUGGAUUCUACGUUCAGGACUUGAGUGUAGUGGGAAAAAGGAGUGUGCCUUUGAAAUCAGAGGAGACUUUGACCCGAGAACCCAGGUGGAAGUGCUGGAGGCGGGCGGGCAGCGUCAAGAAGGAGCAUUUUCAUAGCACAUAAAGGUCCCUCUCAGGGUUCCCACGUGCAGACCCUACGUGCUUUACGGCUGGGAUUUGCAAACACCGCAGCCUGGAACUGGAAGACUCCGGGAGAGGUCUGAGCUCAGGCACUUUCCAAGUGCCUCCUGCUGCACUCGAUACCUGCAUGAAACAAAGAAAACUGUGUUUGCCAGGCUCGCUCGCUGAAGUCACAGGACUCUGCGUAUCAUGCAGCAGUCUGGAAUUCCUACAAAAACUCAUCAGAAAGGGAAUGUGGCCCGCCACACGGACACAGUCGUCUACCCAACUUUUCAGAUCAAAACGUUCAGUACAGAGUUGAAAAACCAUGUGAUGGUCAUGGAUUUUGUGAAGAGGAACUGGUUUCCCUCCCAGAGAAGAGCCAAAGUUUGUAUCAUCCGUAUGUAUCAAGGCCUGAAGACAGCUGAGCAGCCAGCCAGCAGAUAUGAGAUCCAUAGUCGGCUCUUCUCAUCCCCGAGAGAUCACUCUGCCUGGGAAAGAAAGGAGAGUCUUUCAAAUGCAGGUUACUUUCCAGAGAACAAGUGCAGAGAGUUCUUAAGCACACGUGCUGGUGGUGGAGAACAGAGGCACAGAGGAACGGCAUCUGUGCUGUGGGGAGCAGCACGCUGGCGCUGGUCCCAGGGCAGGGGUUGGUGGGCAACUUCAUUUAGCCUGAGAGGCAGUGGGAAGGGUCCUCCGGGCGGUCAGCCUGCUUCUUCUCUGUCCUCCGCAAGACCUGUGCCCACAGCUGCCAGAGCCCUCAUCACAUCGCUCGCUAUAAAACUGCCAGUUAUCUCUCUCCUCUUCCAGAAUAGCAACCCUCUGAAGGCUAAGGCAUCCCACGUUUAUUGUCAGGCUCACUCUGCACCCGGCACAGUGCCAGGCCUGCUCUGAAUUAACUCACCACGUCCUCACUGUGACCCUCUGGGGCAGUGGUGAGGUAUCCCCACCUUUCAGAUGAAAGAUCCAAACCGUGGAGAUGUUUAUCCAUCAACAGGCAAAGCUGGAAGCUUUGAAUAUUUACGAUUUUGUGGAAGGGUGUCUAAGCAGUGUAGCACUUGAGUGAUUUAAUUUUUGCUGCAGCCAUUUUAUGGAACUACAUAUUAUACAUUAGAGUGUAAAUUACAUACUUUUAACAUUUUUAGUGCUGUGCUGAGUUGUUUACACAGAUCACGUGUACGUAACUUAUGGGUGAUUUAAGGAAUGUUCAGGGCAGUUAGAAACCAAAUGGUCUUUCAGGUUUUGCUUUGAGGUUCUCAAUAAAAUCAACACCACCCAUUUGCCAGAUAUCAAUUUUUAAAUUUUGUUUCCUUUUCUUAAACAAAAGCAAGCACCCUUGAACGUGUACAUCUCUCUUGGGGCAUGUGUGGGAUCCAAUCCUGUAAAUGAACUUGGUGUAUCACAAGACAUGUACAUCUUAAAUAUGGAUAGGUAUUGUCAAACUUACCUCCCCCAAACUCUCCGCCAGUUUAUAUUUGAGCCAGUAGUGUGGGGGAGAACCCACUUUUCAACACGCUAACACUGGGUUUUUAAAGGGGUGUGUGUGUGUUUACCAAACUAACAGAAAGAUACAGUAUCUCGUUGUUGAUUUUUAAUUGAGAUGAAAUUCAUAGGACCAAAGAUUUACGCAUUUUGAAGUGUACUGUUCAGUGGCAUUUUGUCCAUUCGUGAUGUUUGCUUCCACCACCUCUGUCCACUCCUGAGUCUUUUCAUUCUCCCCAAAGGAAACCUGGUAACCCUCAAGCAGUCAUGUCCUCUCCGUCCUCCCCCCAGCCCCUGGCAUCCACUGAUCUGUUGGAAUCUCCUUGGAUUUACCUGUUAAUGGAUAUUUCACAUACACGGAAUCAUACAAUAUGUGACUUUCUGCAUCAGUAUCUUCUUUUACUUAGCACAGUGUCAUCAAGGUUCAUUAAUGUUGUAGCAGCCACGAGUACCCAUCCCUCUUUAUGUCUGCAUGUUAUUCCAUCAUCUAAACGCACGACAGUUUCUUAGUCCAUUCAUCCCACGUUGGGUGUUUGGGUUGUUUCCAUCGUCUGACCGGUGUGAACAGCUCUGAUAUGACUGUUGUCUACAGUAUCUGUCUGAGUACCUGUUUUCAGUUCUUUGGGGUUUGUGUUGUCACGUGGCAAUUCUGUGCUUAACCUUCUGAUGAGACCGUUUUCCGUUCCCACCAUGGCUGUAAGGUAGAGUCCAUUUCUCCUUACCCUCCGCUUUUCUAUUUUUCUGCUUGUUUGUUUUGUGUUCCUUUAGAUCUAAUUAUAUGCAUCCUGCUGAAUAUGAUGCAGCAUUUCAUUGUGGUUUUGGUUAGCAUUUAUUUAAUGCUUUAUAUGUGGAGCAUCUUUUUUAUGUGCUUGUUGGCUAUUUAUAUGGCUUUUUUGGUGAAAUGUCGGUUUGAGUUCUUUGCCCGUUUUUAAAAUGAGUUGCUUGUCCUUUUGUUGCUGAGUUGUAAGAGUUCCUUAUAUAUUUUGGAGUCUAGAUCUUUAUCUGAUAAAUAGUUUGCGAAUAUUUCCUCCUGUUCUUUAGAUUUCACUUACUUGAUAAUAUCAUUUGCUACAAAAGGUAUUGCCUUAUUUUAUUUAAAAGUUGUUGUUUUAAUUUAUAGCGUCCCAGUUGCUAAAGAGCUCUAUCAUCUUUUCAAUGUAUGUUAUCCUACUGUAUUUAUUUUUCUAUGAAAUCCAUGUUCAGAGCAUUUAUUUACUUUUCUAAACUGUUUUCUUCUAACAUAAUCAUAAGAGUUACUUUUAUACCCUGGGUACUAAUAUCUUUAAUAUUUUCCUUCUGUUGCUUCUCUUUUAAUUUGUAGGUAAUAACAUUUUUCAGAUAAAAGUUACU